UUGUCGUCGAGCCCCCCUAUGAGCAACGAGGAGGUUUUCUUUUUCUUUUUUUUCUCCUCUCUACUGUUGUCUUUAGGUUAGCUAUGCUACACUCUUUACUGUAACGCAGCGCUAGCUAUAUGCGCCGCGCGCGGCUCCACUCUGGAUAUCCGGACAUUAUCAACUUCCAGCCGCUCGCUCCUCGCUCCCGCAGCCCGCACACAGACUCCAGUAGAGAUUACCCAGAGUGCCGCUGGCUUAAGGAUCGACCAGGAAGAGCUGAAAGAAGGCGAGGCUGGGAAAACGAAGGGCAGUGUUUGGAUGAGGAGGUGAACCCUCAGGAGGAGCCAGAACCCGCAAAGAGCCUCCCGGUAGAGGAAGAGCAAUUGAGCGCCUCUGCUGUCUGUGAUGCCCUCCCAUGACGCCCAGGUUAGUAGCUGACACUGCCAGUGAGCGGGAGACGCCACUGCACAACCGGUCGUGGGCCUGCGCCAUCAGCCGGUUCUCGCCCUCCCUCUCACACGCUGGAGACUCCAACUCCAACCACCUACCAGUGUCCACACGCAUUAACGACGAUCCACCCCUGUAAGUUUCUCUCCGAAACCGACACGCUGACGUCCACGGCCACCAGCAGCAGUUGCCAAAACCUGCAACAUCAUCGAAGCAAUCCGCAACACCAGCAGCAU
Molecule: long non-coding RNA, 665 nt
Filed under: Oryzias sinensis (Chinese medaka)
Lineage: Eukaryota; Metazoa; Chordata; Actinopteri; Beloniformes; Adrianichthyidae
Description: lncRNA (ENSOSIG00000008357.1)
Source: RNAcentral